This 253-nucleotide ribosomal RNA is filed under the name uncultured bacterium. RNAcentral describes it as "partial 16S ribosomal RNA". It matches the Rfam family "Bacterial small subunit ribosomal RNA", at positions 524 to 776 of the family's 1533-position model. The record is from RNAcentral.
UACGUAGGGUGUAAGCGUUAAUCGGAAUUACUGGGCGUAAAGCGUGCGCAGGCGGUUUUGUAAGUCUGUCGUGAAAGCCCCGGGCUCAACCUGGGAAUUGCGAUGGAGACUGCAAGGCUUGAAUCUGGCAGAGGGGGGUAGAAUUCCACGUGUAGCAGUGAAAUGCGUAGAGAUGUGGAGGAACACCGAUGGCGAAGGCAGCCCCCUGGGUCAAGAUUGACGCUCAUGCACGAAAGCGUGGGGAGCAAACAGG